CCUGCACACACCCAGGUGGCCCCCGGCUCUCCAACUGCCCCACUCCUUCUUGGCACCUAGCUCAAGGCUUUUCCUGGGAGCUUGUGCACAAUAAAGAGACAGGAGAUGCUUUGCCAGGCGUCUCUCCCUCCAAAGCAGGCAACCAGGGCUCUUCUGCGGUUUUCUGCUGUGUGGAGGCUCCUGGUGAUGCUCUGAGCAAGGCCAUAGGGGUCAGAGGUCCAGGCGGUCACUCAGGCUCGGGGCUCUGCAGGACAGGUCUCAGCAGCAGCUGGACACUCUCCAAAGACCCACCACCCCUUCUCCUCCAGCUCUGGCUUUUCUCCCUCUCUUGGCCCCGGGCUGGCGCUGGGUGUUCUGGAGAACAGAGGUGUUUUUCAAGGCUCAGGACAUUGUAUAGGAUGGGAAAAAGCCUUUUCUGCACUUCCCUCCCUGAUGGUUAUCUUGGAAAGCAUUACGAGGUUUUAGACCAAGGGCUGACUUUAUGAACAACAAUGCUUCUAACAGUGAAAUGCCAAGAUCCUUCGUUGGGAUAAAUCACAUUUCCUCCACAAAUGCAGUUCACUAUUAUGUGUCAUACUACCAGGAAAAACAUUUCUUCACCACAGCAGAUAAGCGUUUUUGUGGCAAAGCACAGUGGUUAACACGGCAACUUCUGUGAUUCUGAGGGCUCCAUAGCGUUCCACAUUCUUUUCCUUGCAUCUGCUAGUCAGGGCAGUCCUUUUACAUCUUUUAAAAUCUUACUAAGUCAUUCAAUACCCAUCAGUUGUUCUCUACAUACUACAGCUCCUGCAGAAUUUUGGAAUGUGCUAUGAAAAAUAGGGCUCACUUUUACUGACUCUUUUAAAUUGCAUGGCAUGAGUGCCAGGUGAGCUGUAUUCUCCAUCAGCUAUGUCUUAAUUCUUUUUCAGUUGUCUGGCCCUACAUCCAGUGUCACUAGCUGAAAACAAAAUCAGAGCCAUUCCUUCCAACUGAUGAAGAGCUGUCUCUUCCCCAUGGUUUUCAGUCUCCAUUUUGAAGCCCAGACUUCACAAAGCGGGGAAGGAUCUCCCCUGACUCUACACACCAGGGUUAAUCACCUAAUUUCAAAAGUAAUGUCCUGAAAAAACACAGUUUUUUUACCAACAAAAGCAAUAUCUUCUGUCUAGAAUUUAGAUGUAGCAGCCAGGUGUGGAGUUCAAAGUACACUUGGGCUGGAUAAAAGAUUUCUGCCUCCAUGCCUCUUGG
Molecule: long non-coding RNA, 1224 nt
Filed under: Cyanistes caeruleus (blue tit)
Lineage: Eukaryota; Metazoa; Chordata; Aves; Passeriformes; Paridae
Description: lncRNA (ENSCCEG00000018974.1)
Source: RNAcentral